This 468-nucleotide ribosomal RNA is filed under the name uncultured bacterium. RNAcentral describes it as "partial 16S ribosomal RNA". It matches the Rfam family "Bacterial small subunit ribosomal RNA", at positions 28 to 507 of the family's 1533-position model. The record is from RNAcentral.
GACGAACGCUGGCGGCGUGCUUAACACAUGCAAGUCGAACGGAAAGGCCCUGCUUUUGUGGGGUGCUCGAGUGGCGAACGGGUGAGUAACACGUGAGUAACCUGCCCUUGACUUUGGGAUAACUGCAGGAAACUGGGGCUAAUACCGGAUAGGAGCUCCUGCUGCAGGGUGGUGGUUGGAAAGUUUCGGCGGUGGGGGAUGGACUCGCGGCUUAUCAGCUUGUUGGUGGGGUAGUGGCUUACCAAGGCUUUGACGGGUGGCCGGCAUGAGAGGGUGACCGGCCACAUUGGGACUGAGAUACGGCCCAGACUGCAACGUGAGGCAGCAGUGGGGAAUAUUGCCCAAUGGGCGGAAGCCUGAUGAAGAAACGCCGCGUGCGGGAUGACGGCCUUCGGGUUGUAAACCGCUUUCGCCUGUGACGAAGCGUGAGUGACGGUAAUGGGUAAAGAAGCACCGGCUAACUACGUG